GAUGAACGCUGGCGGCGUGCCUAACACAUGCAAGUCGAGCGAAGCGCUUAAAUUGGAUUUCUUCGGAAUGACGAUUUUUGUGACUGAGCGGCGGACGGGUGAGUAACGCGUGGGUAACCUGCCUCAUACAGGGGGAUAACAGUUAGAAAUGACUGCUAAUACCGCAUAAGACCACGGCUUCGCAUGAAGUGGUGGUAAAAACUCCGGUGGUAUGAGAUGGACCCACGUCUGAUUAGCUAGUUGGUAAGGUAACGGCUUACCAAGGCGACGAUCAGUAGCCGACCUGAGAGGGUGACCGGCCACAUUGGGACUGAGACACGGCCCAGACUCCUACGGGAGGCAGCAGUGGGGAAUAUUGCACAAUGGGGGAAACCCUGAUGCAGCGACGCCGCGUGAAGGAUGAAGUAUUUCGGUAUGUAAACUUCUAUCAGCAGGGAAGAAAGUGACGGUACCUGACUAAGAAGCC
This 466-nucleotide ribosomal RNA is filed under the name uncultured bacterium. RNAcentral's name for it is "bacterial SSU rRNA". It matches the Rfam family "Bacterial small subunit ribosomal RNA", at positions 28 to 492 of the family's 1533-position model. The record is from RNAcentral.